GAAGGCAUAAUCCUUUUAUCAGCAUAUUGGGGUCUGUCACCAGUGGUGAUAUCCGGUGUAACCAGCACUUCCAAGUCCCGCGGUGAAGAGAGCCUGAGGGGAUUCUGUGGGAAUCAGAAGACGGACACACGGUGUCAGGAUGGAGCACUUUGAUCCAGAUGGGGAAGAAGAGAAGGCCAGAGUCCUUAAAAGGGGUGUGUCUACUUUUGACAGGUCAGUCUUAAUGGAGGGCAGUGUGUGCCAAAGAUAGCUUAGUAUCUUAUUACAAUAAAAGCUUCUCAUUCCAUGUGUUGAUGACAUUAAUGAACUCCCGAUAUUUCUACCGACGCAGUUUAUAAAUUGAUUUGCAAGGUCUCAUUUUAGUUAACCAGGCUAUGAACGAUCUUUGAUAUCUCUACCUUAGGAAAUCACCUUAACAGUUGGUAGUUGCAAGUCUGUGUAAUAUGAACUGAUGUUAACAUCUGUGAAUAUGAACUUGUUAAUAUUGAAGUUGCACAGGCACCCUGAGGGUUUCUAUCUCUUCCUAUUAUAAUUCCAUGAGUUAAAUUGAAGGGACUGUAACAUCAGCUAGAUAACUAGCUCUCACUUCAUGCAAAUGGAACUCAAGAUUAUUCAAAAGUUCCCUUAGCAUAGCAACCAGACAACCAUAGCAACCAGGAAACACUGCUGCAUAGCCUGAGGCAUUGUUUCAUUUCUCAAAAUCAGCUCACCAAAAAGUCAGUCUUGGGUUAAAAGUGGUCACAGCCACUUGCAGAUGACUGACAAAAUGAAUCCUUAGUUUAUGUUAAUUGCAGUCUACGUUACACAUAAAGAAUGGGGUCUUUUGGUCAGCCAAGGUUGCUGUAAAAUAUUUGAAUGAUUGUGAAAUCCAGUUUAAAGACUUUUUUGCCUUGUUCCAGUCUAUAUUCGCUUGUUAUUUGUUGGGAAAUCUGCCAAACUGGCUUUUGUGUUGUAACUAAUAUUUUAACAUUAUAAAUGAAUGUAUAGUGUGUGUGAGUGUGUGUGUGUACAAGAGAGUUAGAGGAUGGUGUCAGUGACAGGUGUGGUCCUUUUGAGGGAGAUGUGAGAACAUCACAUGUUAAUACACUCAUGUUGUAUUAACAGCAUCCAGCUGUUGUUUCUCCUCUUCUCAGUAACAGUUCCACCCGAAACGUAUGAGCGUUUCUAGUGAUGCUUGCAGCCAGAAAUGAAGGAAUUUGA
Molecule: long non-coding RNA, 1200 nt
Organism: Clupea harengus (Atlantic herring)
Lineage: Eukaryota; Metazoa; Chordata; Actinopteri; Clupeiformes; Clupeidae
Exons: 3
Source: RefSeq, a predicted model, not a curated record